Molecule: ribosomal RNA, 379 nt
Filed under: uncultured bacterium
Lineage: Bacteria
Description: bacterial SSU rRNA
Rfam family: Bacterial small subunit ribosomal RNA
Source: RNAcentral
AGCGAACGCUGGCGGCAGGCUUAACACAUGCAAGUCGAGCGGAUGUAGCAAUACAUCAGCGGCAGACGGGAGAGUAACACGUGGGAACGUACCCUUCAGUUCGGAACAACCCAGGGAAACGUUAGGGCUAAUACCGGAUACGUCCGUAAGGAGAAAGAUUUAUCGCUGAGGGAUCGGCCCGCGUCUGAUUAGCUAGUUGGUGAGGUAACGGCUCACCAAGGCGACGAUCAGUAGCUGGUCUGAGAGGAUGAUCAGCCUCACUGGGACUGAGACACGGCCCAGACUCCUACGGGAGGGCAGCAGUGGGGAAUAUUGGACAAUGGGCGGCAAGCCUGAUCCAGCCAUGCCGCGUGGGUGAUGAAGGCCCUAGGGUUGUAAA